UGGGGCAUGAACCUGGCAUACAAUGUAGAUUUCUGUGUUUGUUGAACAACAGCUACAUUGUCUGCUGGGUUUCAGGCUACCUGG
Molecule: microRNA precursor, 84 nt
Filed under: Cavia porcellus (domestic guinea pig)
Lineage: Eukaryota; Metazoa; Chordata; Mammalia; Rodentia; Caviidae
Description: mir-221 microRNA precursor family
Rfam family: mir-221 microRNA precursor family
Source: Rfam by way of RNAcentral